GAUGAACGCUGGCGGCGUGCCUAAUACAUGCAAGUCGAACGCAUUGAGAGAAGUGCUUGCACUUUUCAAUUUGAGUGGCGAACGGGUGAGUAACACGUGGGCAACCUACCUGAUAGCGGGGGAUAACGAGUGGAAACAUUCGCUAAUACCGCAUAACAAUAGAGAAUGCAUCUUCUUUAUUUAAAAGGCGCUUUCAAGCGUCACUAUCAGAUGGGCCGGUGGUGCAUUAGUUAGUUGGUGGGGUGAAGGCCUACCAAGACGAUGAUGCAUAGCGGAGUUGAGAGACUGAUCGGCCACAUUGGGACUGAGACACGGCCCAAACUCCUACGGGAGGCUGCAGUAGGGAAUCUUCCACAAUGGACGAAAGUCUGAUGGAGCAACGCCGCGUGUGUGAUGAAGGCUUUCGGGUCGUAAAGCACUGUUGUAUGGGAAGAAAUGCUAGGCUAGGAAAUGAGCUUAGUUUGACGGUACCAUACCAGAAAGGGACGGCUAAAUACGUGCCAGCCGCCGCGGUAA
RNAcentral lists this ribosomal RNA (516 nucleotides) under uncultured bacterium. RNAcentral's name for it is "partial 16S ribosomal RNA". It matches the Rfam family "Bacterial small subunit ribosomal RNA", at positions 28 to 523 of the family's 1533-position model. The record is from RNAcentral.